Molecule: long non-coding RNA, 258 nt
Filed under: Homo sapiens (human)
Lineage: Eukaryota; Metazoa; Chordata; Mammalia; Primates; Hominidae
Description: non-protein coding lnc-SEMA3D-3:1
Source: RNAcentral
UGCGACCAAAAGGCCGUGAUCAAAAAUACGGACAUGUCGGAAGAGAUGCAACAGGACUCAGUGGAGUGCGCUGCUCAGGCGCUGGAGAAAUACAACAUAGAGGACACUGCGGCUCAUAUCAAGAAAGAAUUUGACAAGAAGUACAAUCCCACCUGGAGUUGCAUCAUGGGGAGGAACUUCGGUAGUUACCUGACACAUGAAACCAAACACUUCAUCUACUUCUACCUGGGCCAAGUGGCCAUUCUUCUGUUCAAAUCU